UACGAAGGGAGCUAGCGUUGUUCGGAAUCACUGGGCGUAAAGCGCACGUAGGCGGAUGUGUCAGUCAGGGGUGAAAUCCCGGGGCUCAACCCCGGAACUGCCUUUGAUACUGGUAGUCUCGAGUCCGGAAGAGGUGAGUGGAAUUCCGAGUGUAGAGGUGAAAUUCGUAGAUAUUCGGAGGAACACCAGUGGCGAAGGCGGCUCACUGGUCCGGUACUGACGCUGAGGUGCGAAAGCGUGGGGAGCAAACAGG
This 253-nucleotide ribosomal RNA is filed under the name uncultured bacterium. Its description in RNAcentral is "partial 16S ribosomal RNA". It matches the Rfam family "Bacterial small subunit ribosomal RNA", at positions 524 to 776 of the family's 1533-position model. The record is from RNAcentral.